CUACGGGGGGCAGCAGCAGGGAAUAUUGCACAAUGGACGGAAGUCUGAUGCAGCGACGCCGCGUGGAUGAUGAAGGCCUUCGGGUUGUAAAAUCCUUUUCAGGGAGAAGAGGAAGGACGGUAUCCCUGGAAUAAGCGUCGGCUAACUACGUGCCAGCAGCCGCGGUAAUACGUAGGACGCAAGCGUUAUCCGGAUUUACUGGGCGUAAAGCGUCUGUAGGCGGUUUAGUAAGUUUGAUGUGAAAGCUCCAGGCUCAACUUGGAGAGUGCAUUGAAUACUGCUAGACUUGAGGGGAUCAGAGGAAAGCGGAAUUUCCGGUGUAGCGGUAAAAUGCGCAGAUAUCGGAAAGAACACCAGUGGCGAAGGCGGCUUUCUGGGAUCAACCUGACGCUGAGAGACGAAAGCUAGGGUAGCGAACAGGAUUAGAUACCCUGGUAGUC
This 440-nucleotide ribosomal RNA is filed under the name uncultured bacterium. RNAcentral's name for it is "partial 16S ribosomal RNA". It matches the Rfam family "Bacterial small subunit ribosomal RNA", at positions 339 to 795 of the family's 1533-position model. The record is from RNAcentral.